Molecule: small RNA, 126 nt
Filed under: Arabidopsis thaliana (thale cress)
Lineage: Eukaryota; Viridiplantae; Streptophyta; Magnoliopsida; Brassicales; Brassicaceae
Description: ATSL099190
Source: RNAcentral
AUACACAUCGAUAUAUAUUAUUAUGAACUGGGAGUUUGCCAAUGUGUUAUUAAUUGUUAAAACUUGAAAAAUAAAAGUGGUAUGGUUUGAAUGGCAGAUGUGCGGAAAGCAAACGAUGCGAGGCUU